Molecule: ribosomal RNA, 417 nt
Filed under: uncultured bacterium
Lineage: Bacteria
Description: bacterial SSU rRNA
Rfam family: Bacterial small subunit ribosomal RNA
Source: RNAcentral
GAAUAUUGCGCAAUGGGCGAAAGCCUGACGCAGCCACGCCGCGUGCAGGAAGACACCCCUCUGGGGCGUAAACUGCUUUUGUGUGAGAAGAAGGCCCUCCUCGGGAGGGAUUGACGGUAUCGCACGAAUAAGGACCGGCUAACUCCGUGCCAGCAGCCGCGGUAAUACGGAGGGUCCAAGCGUUGUCCGGAAUCACUGGGUGUAAAGGGUGCGUAGGCGGACUCGUAAGUCAGGGGUGAAAGCCCGCGGCUCAACCGCGGAACUGCCCUUGAUACUGCGAGCCUUGAGUCCUGGAGGGGCUGGCGGAAUUCGUGGUGUAGCGGUGAAAUGCGUAGAUAUCACGAGGAACACCGGAGGUGUAGACGGCCAGCUGGACAGGUACUGACGCUGAGGCACGAAAGCGUGGGGAGCGAACAG